AUUAAUAAUUAAUAUAUUUAAUAAAAAUAAUUUUCAUUUAAUAAAUAUUUUAAUGGGGGUUAAAGUAUUUUUUAAAGAAAAAAUUUUUAAAUUUAUAGUUAAUUAGUAUUGUGAAAGAAUUUUGAAAUAUUAUGAAAAAUAAAAUUUUUAGAAAGUAAUUUUUAUUUAUUGUAUCUUGUGUAUCAGAGUUUAUUAAAAAUUUUUAAUUUAUAAAUUAAUUUCUCGAAUUUAAAAGAGUUAAAUAAUUAUUAAAGUUAUUGUAGCAAAAUUAUUUUAAAUAAUUAUUUAGAAAUGAAAUGUUAAUCGUUUUUAAAUAUAUCUAGUUUUUAUAGAAAAAAAUUUAAUUUUAAAUUUAAAAAUUAUUUAAUUAAUCUAUUAAUUAAAUAAUUAUUUAAAUUUUAUAAUUUAAGGGAUAAGCUUUAAAUUAAAAUUUUAUAAUAUUAAAUUUUUAUUUUGAAAAUUUUAUAAUUUAUAUUGUUAAUAAAUUUUAUUUUGUUAUAAAUAAUUUCAUUUUUUUAAAAUUUAAAUUUUAUUUAAUUUUUUAUAUAAAAUUUAUUUAUAAUUAUAUAAAGUUAAUUAUAAUGAUAAAAUUAGUAUAUUAUUUAAUAUUAAAUUAAAAUUAAUUUUUGAUUAAUAAUUAAAUUAAUUAAAAGGAAUUCGGCAAAUAUUUAUUUUCACUUGUUUAUCAAAAACAUGUCUUUUUGUUAUUUAAUUUAAAGUCUAAUCUGCCCACUGAUUUAUAAAAAUUGAAGGGCUGCAGUAUAUUGACCGUACAAAGGUAGCAUAAUCAUUAGUCUCUUAAUUGGUGACUUGUAUGAAAGAUUGGAUGAAAAAUAUACUGUCUCUUAAUUAAUAUAUAGAAUUUAAUUUUUUAUUUAAAAAGUUAAAAUAAUUUAAAAAGACGAGAAGACCCUAUAGAGUUUAAUAAAUUAUUUUAUGAAAGUUUUAUUUAUAAUUACUAAUAAUUUUAUAAAUUUAUUUAUUUUGUUGGGGUGAUAAAAAAAUAAAUUUAACUUUUUUUAAGUAAUUUACAUGAAUAAGUGAUUAAU
This 1049-nucleotide ribosomal RNA is filed under the name Biston falcata. RNAcentral's name for it is "partial 16S ribosomal RNA". Lineage: Eukaryota; Metazoa; Arthropoda; Insecta; Lepidoptera; Geometridae. The record is from RNAcentral.